Molecule: ribosomal RNA, 500 nt
Filed under: uncultured bacterium
Lineage: Bacteria
Description: partial 16S ribosomal RNA
Rfam family: Bacterial small subunit ribosomal RNA
Source: RNAcentral
AUUGAACGCUGGCGGCAUGCCUUACACAUGCAAGUCGCACGGCCGCACGGGAGCAAUCAUAGUGGCGAGUGGCGAACGGGUGCGUAACGUAUCGGAACGUGCCCAGUCGUGGGGGAUACCGUAGCGAAAGAUACGCUAACACCGCAUACGAUCACUGGAUGAAAGCGCGUGAACGCAAGACCACGCGCGAUUGGAGCGGACGAUAUCAGAUUCGGUAGUGGGUGGGGUAAAGGCUCACCAAGCCGACGAGCUGUAGCUGGUCUGAGAGGACGACCGACCACACUGGGACUGAGACACGGCCCAGACUCCAACGGGAGGCAGCAGUGGGGAAUUUUGGACAAUGGGCGAAAGCCUGAUCCGGCCAUGCAGCGUGCAGGAUGAAGGCCUUCGGGGUGUGAACAGCUUUUGUACAGAACGAAAAGGUUUGGCCUAAUAAGCUGAGCUCAUGACGGUACCGUAAGAGUAAGCACCAGCUAACUACGUGCCAGCCGCCGCCGUAA